GUCUACAGCUGUACUAGCCUGAACAUGCCCAAUCUUGUCUGAUCUCGGAAGCUAAGCAGGGUCAGGCCUGGUUAGUACUUGGAUGGGAACCUCGGGUGCUGUAGGCU
RNAcentral lists this ribosomal RNA (107 nucleotides) under Ophiophagus hannah (king cobra). Lineage: Eukaryota; Metazoa; Chordata; Lepidosauria; Squamata; Elapidae. The record is from RNAcentral.